UACGUAGGGUGCGAGCGUUGUCCGGAAUUACUGGGCGUAAAGAGCUCGUAGGUGGUUUGUCGCGUUGUCCGUGAAAACUCACAGCUCAACUGUGGGCGUGCGGGCGAUACGGGCAGACUGGAGUACUGCAGGGGAGACUGGAAUUCCUGGUGUAGCGGUGGAAUGCGCAGAUAUCAGGAGGAACACCGGUGGCGAAGGCGGCUCACUAAACUGUAACUGACGCUGAGGCACGAAAGCGUGGGGAGCAAACAGG
This 253-nucleotide ribosomal RNA is filed under the name uncultured bacterium. RNAcentral describes it as "partial 16S ribosomal RNA". It matches the Rfam family "Bacterial small subunit ribosomal RNA", at positions 524 to 776 of the family's 1533-position model. The record is from RNAcentral.